RNAcentral lists this ribosomal RNA (134 nucleotides) under uncultured eukaryote. RNAcentral describes it as "partial 18S ribosomal RNA". It matches the Rfam family "Eukaryotic small subunit ribosomal RNA", at positions 1299 to 1458 of the family's 1831-position model. The record is from RNAcentral.
UGGUGGAGCGAUUUGUCUGGUUAAUUCCGACAACGAACGAGACUCUGACCUACUAAAUAGUUGGCAGUUCAAUAAGACUGCAAAACUUCUUAGAGGGACUAGCGGUGCUAACCGCACGAGAUUGAGCAAUAACA